GGAGAGGUGGCCGAGUCGGUCGAAGGCAACCGCCUGCUAAGCGGUUGAAUGGGUAACACCGUUCCCAGGGUUCGAAUCCCUGCCUCUCCGCCA
This 93-nucleotide transfer RNA is filed under the name Nitrospirota bacterium. RNAcentral's name for it is "Nitrospirae bacterium (groundwater metagenome) tRNA-Ser". It matches the Rfam family "tRNA". From Rfam's summary of the family: Transfer RNA (tRNA) molecules are approximately 80 nucleotides in length. Their secondary structure includes four short double-helical elements and three loops (D, anti-codon, and T loops). Lineage: Bacteria; Pseudomonadati; Nitrospirota. The record is from RNAcentral.